Rhodocollybia butyracea is the source of this 75-nucleotide non-coding RNA. Lineage: Eukaryota; Fungi; Basidiomycota; Agaricomycetes; Agaricales; Omphalotaceae. The record is from the annotation of a GenBank genome assembly.
GGCCAGAUAGUCUAGUGGCACAUGACAAUUUGGCAAAAUACCCGAUAGGCCGGGGUUCGAUUCCCUCUCUGGCCU